GAUGAACGCUGGCGGCGUGCCUAAUACAUGCAAGUCGAGCGAACAGACGAGGAGCUUGCUCCUCUGACGUUAGCGGCGGACGGGUGAGUAACACGUGGAUAACCUAGCUAUAAGACUGGGAUAACUUCGGGAAACCGGAGCUAAUACCGGAUAAUAUAUUGAACCGCAUGGUUCACUAGUGAAAGACGGUUUUGCGGUCACUUAUAGAUGGAUCCGCGCCGCAUUAGGUAGUUGGUACGGUAAAGGCUUACCAAGGCUACGAUGGGAAGCCGCCCUGAGAGGGACAUCCGCCACCCUGUAUCUGAGGCACGGUCCAGACUCCUACGCGAGGCCGCAGUACGGACUCUUCCGCAAUGGGCGAAAGCCUGACGGAGCACCGCCGCGUGAGUGAUGAAGUUCUUCGGAUCGUAGAGCUCUGUUAUUCGUGAAGAACAAAUGUGUAAUUAGCUAUGCACGUCUUGACGGUACCUGAUCAGAAAGCCCCGGCUAACUCCGUG
This 497-nucleotide ribosomal RNA is filed under the name uncultured bacterium. RNAcentral describes it as "partial 16S ribosomal RNA". It matches the Rfam family "Bacterial small subunit ribosomal RNA", at positions 28 to 507 of the family's 1533-position model. The record is from RNAcentral.